RNAcentral lists this ribosomal RNA (651 nucleotides) under uncultured Bacilli bacterium. Its description in RNAcentral is "bacterial SSU rRNA". It matches the Rfam family "Bacterial small subunit ribosomal RNA", at positions 78 to 717 of the family's 1533-position model. Lineage: Bacteria; Bacillati; Bacillota; Bacilli. The record is from RNAcentral.
GCUUGCUCUUCUUGGAUGAGUUGCGAACGGGUGAGAACGCGUAGUAACCUGCCUUGUAGCGGGGGAUAACUAUUGGAAACGAUAGCUAAUACCGCAUAACAAUGGAUGACACAUGUCAUUUAUUUGAAAGGGGCAAUUGCUCCACUACAAGAUGGACCUGCGUUGUAUUAGCUAGUAGGUGAGGUAACGGCUCACCUAGGCGACGAUACAUAGCCGACCUGAGAGGGUGAUCGGCCACACUGGGACUGAGACACGGCCCAGACUCCUACGGGAGGCAGCAGUAGGGAAUCUUCGGCAAUGGGGGCAACCCUGACCGAGCAACGCCGCGUGAGUGAAGAAGGUUUUCGGAUCGUAAAGCUCUGUUGUAAGUCAAGAACGAGUGUGAGAGUGGAAAGUUCACACUGUGACGGUAGCUUACCAGAAAGGGACGGCUAACUACGUGCCAGCAGCCGCGGUAAUACGUAGGUCCCGAGCGUUGUCCGGAUUUAUUGGGCGUAAAGCGAGCGCAGGCGGUUUGAUAAGUCUGAAGUUAAAGGCUGUGGCUCAACCAUAGUUCGCUUUGGAAACUGUCAAACUUGAGUGCAGAAGGGGAGAGUGGAAUUCCAUGUGUAGCGGUGAAAUGCGUAGAUAUAUGGAGGAACACCGGUGGCG